UACGUAGGGUGCAAGCGUUAAUCGGAAUUACUGGGCGUAAAGCGUGCGCAGGCGGUUUUGUAAGUCUGACGUGAAAUCCCCGGGCUCAACCUGGGAAUUGCGUUGGAGACUGCAAGGCUGGAGUCUGGCAGAGGGGGGUAGAAUUCCACGUGUAGCAGUGAAAUGCGUAGAGAUGUGGAGGAACACCGAUGGCGAAGGCAGCCCCCUGGGUCAAGCUGACGCUCAUGCACGAAAGCGUGGGGAGCAAACAGGA
This 253-nucleotide ribosomal RNA is filed under the name uncultured bacterium. RNAcentral describes it as "partial 16S ribosomal RNA". It matches the Rfam family "Bacterial small subunit ribosomal RNA", at positions 524 to 777 of the family's 1533-position model. The record is from RNAcentral.